AAUAGGAUGCCUGAUAAAAGGGUUAUUUUGAUAGAAUAAAUUAUGUACGCUGUACUCCUGUUA
RNAcentral lists this transfer RNA (63 nucleotides) under Cleridae sp. 1 KM-2017. RNAcentral describes it as "tRNA-Ile". The record is from RNAcentral. Lineage: Eukaryota; Metazoa; Arthropoda; Insecta; Coleoptera; Cleridae.